AGCGCAAGCGGGAAGACAAGUUGGAAGUGAAAUCCAUGGGCUCAACCCAUGAACUGCUUUCAAAACUGUUUUUCUUGAGUAGUGCAGAGGUAGGCGGAAUUCCCGGUGUAGCGGUGGAAUGCGUAGAUAUCGGGAGGAACACCAGUGGCGAAGGCGGCCUACUGGGCACCAACUGACGCUGAGGCUCGAAAGUGUGGGUAGCAAACA
RNAcentral lists this ribosomal RNA (207 nucleotides) under uncultured bacterium. RNAcentral describes it as "partial 16S ribosomal RNA". It matches the Rfam family "Bacterial small subunit ribosomal RNA", at positions 568 to 774 of the family's 1533-position model. The record is from RNAcentral.